UUAAACCUCAAAACCAUGAGCCCAAAUAGACUUUUCCUCCUCUGCGUUGUCCUUGUUCAUGGUGAAACAAAGAUGAGUGUACAAACAAGCCCACCUGGCUCCUCCUCAAGGUCGUCAUCGUCUCUGGCCUCAACUCUGUGUCAGCCCUUAGUGCAUCUCCGCUGUGGCCUCAUGCAGGUCAUUCUGCACUGGGUCGCCACAGUGAUCGGCAUGUAAGUGUUGACGUUGCUUCCCCACCUAAAACCUUCCAGCAACUUCCAUUGCACCACACCUACAACUGAAAUCCCUUCCUAUGGCAACGGACUGUCCUGAUGGAACCCUGGCCUCCUUCACCAGUGUCAUAUGGGGCUACAGUCCCCCAAACACUGGAGUCAGCCCUAGGACCUUUACAACACCCGACAUGCUAAGCUUCUCAGCCUCAGGACUUUGGGACUCACUCAUCCUGUUAUACCCACCUGUCCACCUGACCAGCUUCUUCUCAUGCUCCAGUGUCUGUUGAAGGCUCAUUUCCCCAGAGGUGCCUCCCCUGACCACCCCAUCUCAAACGCAGCCCGUCUCACUAAUUCCUGUCUUCCCACUGCCCAGUCAAUGUCUUCCUAGCCGUCAGUGCUACCUGACAUUGUCUAUGCGCCCCCUUCCUAGUGACCUCUUAUUACCUCAACUAGAGUGGGAGGUCCUCAGGACAUUCCUGUUGAAUAGAUAUCUUCAGGGGAAUAAAGGACCUUUAUUUUGAUCUUACGGCAAAUGUAAAGAAAAGUCGCACAGAUGUGUGCAAAUCUUACUGUACAUCUCCAUGGAUUAGAUAAAGAAGAUUUCUUUCUGUUCCCUAUUUUCCCUACCCCAGUAUCUCCUCUUACCUUUAAGGAGUAAGGUUUUGACAUUGUUGAUGGAACUUACUAGGUUCUUCUCACAUCUUUAUCUUAGCUCAUGAGCCCUCCCCUAGAUGCACCUUGUCUGCUUUUUGUAGAAGGAACUUUCCUAUCUCGUUCCCCACUGCAGAGUGCUCUGCUGCUGAGUUGCAGAAACAUUUUAGCUCACAGAUGUCCACUUUUUAAACAGUGCUGUCUCUGCUUCUUUGAAAAAUGCCAGCCAUUUAAUCAUGCCUUCUGCUUCAAGUUCACCGUGACGAUGGCUAAUAAGCUUGGGAUUGUUCUGUCUCCAUCGCUCUGUGCUGGGAGAGCCUCUGUGGGCUCAUGUAAGCCAAACAAAGACUUCUCGCUAUUCCUUGACUUUUCUCUUUCAUCUCUCCAGUCUUUUUACCUGGCUCUGAUUAGUGCAUCUGGAAUUUGAAGACCAAAUGCAACAGAGACACACAGAGAGUCACAGAGCUGGCAUAGACCACCAGAGGUGGGCUGAUAUUUUCUCUUGGAAGAUAAACUCAAAGAAAGAAAAAAAAUGGAUUUUAUCAUCUACCAUGGUCCAUAGUAAACACAGAAAACCGCCCUCUGCUCAGUGGGCAGCUCAUUCACAUUCAUUCACUUUUCCAACAAAUACAAAGUCCCUAAUCAGCGUCAGCGCUGCCCAGGUGCUACUCACCUGUGUGGCCCAGCAUGCAGAGUUGAAUAGCUAUUCUUUUCUAUAUGCUUAUUUCAUGCUUUUAGAAAUAAAAUCAUCAUCUUGAGUGUAGCAGAAGUGGUCAGAAUCAAAAUGUAAUCGGUUAUGUCAACUUUAACAACAAUAACCAAAAACAACUAAGUCGGAGAGAUUACAAAGGAAGGAUUUUUACUCAUGGCUACCUUUUAGCUACUACCACAAAGGACUGUGAGAGCACCACCUUGCACAGAGCCCACUGCGACCUUAUACAAAGAGCACUUGUAUGAAGACAGCUGCCAGGCAAUAUCUGCUCAACCCUGGACGGAGGCUACUCUUGCUAUUGGUCAUCAUGGCCCAACCUUAUUAUUGCAAAAUAUCUGAUGCAAUCAUCCUAUUUCUAUAUUUUUUAUUUGGCUAGGGUCUCCUUAUGUUGCCCAAUCUAGCUUUGAACUCAAGAUACUUCUGCCUCAGCAAUCCAAGCAUCAUCCUUUUCUUUAAAAAAUCUUCCCCUUGUCACCGGGUAUCAAGGUGCACACCUGUAAUCCCUCCCAGCUACUCAGGAGGCUGAAGCAGGAGGAUCAUAAAUUAGAGGCCAGCCUGGGCAACUUAGCAAGAUCAUGUCUGAAAGUAAAAAUAAACUGAGCUGGGGAUUUAGCUCAGGGAUAAAGUGUAGCUGGGUUAGAUCCCUGAUACCAUGAAAAACAAAGCAAAGUAAAACAGAACCAAACGAAAACAAAACUUCCCCUUGCCUCAGCCUCUUGAAUACACUCAUGGUUUCCUAGGGUGUGUGUGAAUCUCUGCUUCAUUCACUGCAAAAAGAUUUCCAAAUAAACAUUAGUUUUUGGAGAAUCUAUUUCUAUUUAUUUAUUUAUUUUAAUUUAGGUCAAUAGUGUGAUAGACUGAGAAAAGUCCACCAAUUCCUGUCUUCCUUUUUCCUUUGGCUGUAGACUCCCAGAGUCCCUGUGGACACGUGAUGAUUCUCAGCCUCCACCGUUAGCGUAGCUGUGUGAGUAGGGCCUCAAGAAGUGAGCAGAGCCUUGUGCAUGACACAGAAAGUCGCUAAAAGCAGAGUGUGGGGUGUGCCCCUCCUCCUUUCCUCUCCUUUCUUGCUGAAUGAAGAAAUGCAGACGUGGUAGUCAGUGCUGAGAAGGCAUUCGGACCAUGGGUGGAAGUGAGGUGCACGAGAUAAUAGAAAACCAAGACUUCUAACAGGUUUUUUUGAAGACAGACAUCAGAUGAUACCAUGUGUGGUGGUUAAUCUGAAUCGUCAACUUGAUUGAAGAGUAAAAGGCUCCUGGCUGGGUCCGUGAGGACGUUUCUGGGAAUGAUUGGCAGGUGGGAUGGCAGACUGAGGGGAAACCCACCUUAAAUGUGGGCAGCACUGUCCACGGUUCCAUAGGUCAGGGGCCUGGAUGGAAGAAGAAGCUGGAAGAACAGGAAAGGUGAUGCAGAUCCGAGCUCCGUUCUUCCUGAGAAGGUGCUUUGAUUCUGCCAGGGUCCCCCAAGGUCAUCCCCAAGGUCAUCACACUCCAGCUCCUUCACCCUUCCAAGGUGACUUCUGACGGGUGACUGUCCGGGGGAUUCCAGGCCUUUGACCCUGGACUGGGGCUGCAUCAUCGGUCUCUCUCCUUCUGAGGCUGCAGCUUGUGGGACGACGCAGCUCUCCAGCCUGCUAACGUCCACUGUAGGACUAUCCAGAUUCCAGUCGUUGAAGCCAAUUGAAUACAUCCCCUUUUUAUAACCAGACCUACCUGUAUAGACUGCUGGCUCUGUUCGUCCAGAGAACUGUUUUAGUCAGAUUUCCUGCUGCUGUGACCACAACAUCUGACCACAAUGAUUUUAGAGGAGGGACUGUUUACUUGGGGCCCAUGGCUCCAGAGACCUCAAUCCAUAGACAGCUGGCUCCAUUCCUCUGGGCUCAAGAGGAGGCAGAACAUCAUGGCGGAGGAGUGUAGCGGAGGGAAGUGGCUCACAUGAUGAUCAGCAGGAGAGAGAGAGAGAGAGAGAGAGAGAGAUCUCCACUGGCCAGAUACAAAAUAUGUACCCCAAAAGCACGCCCCGCCUCCUCCAGCCACACCCUACCUGCCUUCAGGAACCACUCAGUUAAUCUCUAUUAGGGGAUUAAUUCACUGAUUGGAUCAAGGCCGUCAUAAUCCAAUCAUGGGGGACACCUCACAUCCAGAUGAUGAUGAUGACUGAUCUAGAAGGGGCGACAGUUUCUGACCCAUGGUGCCUAUAGAGAGUGGUUUUCUUGGGAGGAGAGUGCUCAUCCCUGCAGAGUCAAGACGCACUCAGGAAUUGGAUGCACCACAUACAGGGGGGCUGCGCUGACGGGAUCGUGUCUGUAUUCUGAGCAGUCAGCCUCCUAGGGCGCCUCACCACCCUCCUCAGUCAGGCAUGUGAUUCCUCCAAAUUCUCCUCCUCCUACUUCCAGGGAUGAGUCAAGAGUGUUGUUCUUUGGAGAAACUAAGCAGGAAAGAAAUGCUGGAUGUGGGGAAACCAAAUGAAUUGCAGCAUGGAGCAGAAGAUAUGUGAAAAUCAAGGAAAUGUCUAUAAGAGAAACAAUUGGGCGUAAGACUUUUUUCUCUCUUUUUCUUUCUCAGAAGACCCUUGGCAGAGUGUGCAUGACAGGUUGUGUCUUCUAGGUCAUCUGUAAGAGACACAUUUGGUUGCAUAGAAACAAGCAGGUUGAUAAUAAAAGGAUGGUAUGAUAUCUACCUGGCAGAGAGAAGCGAAAAAGAACUAUGUUGGCUCUGCUAAUAUCAGACAAAUAGAUUUUGAACAAAGAAAUAUCGCCAGAGAAGAGAGGGCCAUUUCAUAAUAAUAAAAGGGUAAAUAUAUCAGAAAGAUGUAGUGGGUGUAAGUGCACCCAACAGCAGGCUCUCAAAACACAGUAAUUAAGAACUGAUAAAACCAAGAGGAGAAAGAGACAUUUGGACAAUUGUAAUUGAAGGCUUUCUCAGUAAUCGAUAAAACAAUAUUCAGAAAGUCAGGAAGGGUAUAGAAGACCUGAACGAUACUAUCAACCACUGGAACUAAUUGACAUAAAGAAGUACCCUUCUAUCCUUGACUUCACAUUCCAUGGCUUCAGAUACCCACAGUCAACUAUUCGAUGAAAGAACAUUCCUUGCAAUUUCCAGCAUCUGGUGGCGGGCAGCCUUCCUUGGCUUCUGGUUACACUGGCUGGCCUUCAACUUUAUAUCACCUUCUCUUCUCCCUCUGCCAUUCUCUUAGAAGAACAUCCAUACUGCAUUUUCCAGAAUAAUCCCAAGAUCCUUCAUGUAAUCACAUCUGUGAAGAGCAUAUUAUGUAAGUCAGUUUUCUGUUGCUGUGACAAAUACCUAAGAUAAAUGAACUUAAAGAGAGAAAAGGUUUAUUUUGGUUUGUGAUUCCAGUCCACAGUCGCUUGGCCCUGUUACUUUGGGCCUGUACACAGUAUAUCACAGCAGAAGCUUCUGGAAAAGGAGACUGUUCACCUCAUGGAGGCCAGAAAGCAAAUAGAGGGAGGAGGUGGGAGUCUAGUAUCCCCUUCAAGGACAUGUCCCUAGUGACCUCCACUUCCGCCCACUAGGACCCACCUCCUAAGUAUUUCCCAAUAGUGCCAUGGAUGGGCCACCAAGUCUUCAGCAUGUAGGUCUUUGGGGGACCCUUAUCAAAUCAUGGCACAUACAGUAUGCUAUUUAUAGGUCCCAAGGAUUGGGACAUGAACAUCCUUUGGGAGAUAAUUGUUUUUUAGUGUAUUAUACAAGUGCCCAUAAACUUUAAAAGGUUAAAGUAAUACAAAGUGUGUUCUAUGACUAAAACAGUAUAAAUUAGCAAUCAACUAGAUAAAUAAAUAUGGAAAUUUAUCACAUAUUUGGAAACCAAACCACAAGCUUCUUAAUAUUCAUAAAUCAAAGAAAUCACCCACAAAAUUAAAAAUGUCUCAAACUGAAAAGGAAAGCCCAACUUUUCAAAACUUAGAGGAUGCAGAAAAAAGACAUCUUAGAGAAAUAAAAAUGAAUAUGUUUAAACUCCUGUAUUUGAAAAGAAAAAGGUUCUAAAAAAAGGAUUGCUUAAGCUUUCUCAUCAAGAAGCUCUAAAAAGAAGAGUGAAUUAAAACAAGAGUAAAGAGAAGGAAGGAAAUAAUAAAAAUCAAGGCAAAAAUCAAGGAAAGAAACGAAAGAUCAUGACAGAAAAUCAAACAACAAAAAUGUGUGUUGGAAAGAUCAACAAAGUACAUACACUUAGGGAAACUGAUUAAGAAAAAAAAGAAGGGAAGACACCAAUUGCAAACUUUUGAAUGUAUUUAUUCUUUCUAGUUGUUUUUUUUUUCUCUUCUUUUUUUUUUCAGGGGGGUGGGUUAGGGAAAGAAUUUCUACACAGGCCAUCAUACUACCUGCCAUUAGAACAGCUUUCCAGACUUAUUUUGUUGCCUAGAACUUCAUAAUUAUCAUACUGAAUAGAAGGGAUGGGAUACGACAUUCUUGCUCUGCUCUGUCUUAGGGAAAAGUAGUCAGCUUUUUACCAGUAAAUACGAUAUUAGUGUUAGGGUUUUUGCUCAUGUCUCUAUCAAGUUGAGGAAGUUCCCCUUUAUUCCUAGUUUCCUAAGAAUUUUUAUCAUGAUUGGUUGUUGAAUUAGGUAAAAAUAUUUUCCAACAUCAAUUGACAUAGUCCUAUGAUUUUUCUUCUUUAGCUUGUUCACAUGGUGGAUUGCACUGAUUGCUUUUCAAAUAUUGAGCCAGACUGGCGUAUCUGGAAUAAAUCUCAGAUGAGCUCUGCCUGCUGGUACUUGAGAAUUUUUUGUCUGUUUAUGAGGGAUAGAGCUCUGUAGUUUUCUCUUUCCUUGAACUGUCUUUGUUUAGUUUUGGUAUCAGGGCAAUACUGUCUUCGUGGAAUAAAGUGAGAACUAUUUCCUCUUCUAUUUUCUGGAACAUGUUGUAUAGAAUGGGCUUAUGCAAUGUUUGGUUGAAUGUUCUCCAGAAAAAAAACAACUAGUGCUGGAGACUCUUUUUCCAGGAGAUUUUAAAUGAUCAACUUCCUCUGAAAUGAUAAAGCUUAUCAGAUUAUCUUCUUUGUACUCAGUGAGCUGUAGUGCUUUGUACUUUUCAAGGUCCUUUCACAUAAGUUGCCAAUAUUAUACAUGUAGUUAUCAGGGGUUUUUGUUUUGUUUUGUUUUUUUACAUAGUCAUUCUCUUCCGAAGCCCACAGUUUGUAUGGCGCUAUUCCCAAUCCUGAUAUUAGCAACUUCUAAACUUCUCUCAUCUAUUUUAUCAGUCUUGCAAGAAGUUGUCAAUUUUAUCAAAUCUUUUCCAAGAACUAAUUUUUAUUCCUAGUGUUUUCCUACUUUUAAAUUUGGUUUCUACUCUUUUCUAAUAUUUUAUUCUGUUGGCUUUGGAUUUGUUUUUCUUUGUCUGGAGUCUUCACUAAGGAACUUGGUUAUUGAUUUCUAACGUAAACUUUUAGCAUUUUACAUUUCUCUCUUGGCACCAUGUGAUUCCAUCCAACCUGUUGUGAAAUGUUUUAUUUUCAUUUUCGUUCACUUUUUAUUGCCUGGAGACUCCUCUUUGACCUAUGGCUUACGUAGAAGUGUGUCAUUUAAUUUCCAUGCAUUUAGAGAUUUUUCCUGUUUUCUUUCUUUUUUUUUUAAUUUCUACUUUGAUUCCAUUAUAGGAAGAGGAAAUACUCUGUAUGAUUAUAAUUAUUUUGGAUUUGUUGAGACUUGUUUUGUAGUUCAGGAUGUGGUCUUGGUGAACGGUCUAUAGACAUCUGAAAAUCAGAAAAGCAUGCAUUCUGCUGUAGUCGGGUGAGUAGUCUGUAUGUGUCAAUCAGAUCCUAUGGCUGAUAUCAUUCUAUAUUCUUCCUGGUUGUUUUCUCUAGAAGUGCCAUCAGCUGUUGGUAAGAAGGAAAUGCGGAAGUCUCCAAGUGCAAGGUUUUUACUUGUUUCUUUCAUCUUCAGUUCCAUUGGUUUUUGCAUCAUACAUUUUGAGGCCAUAUUGUUUGGUGGUAUACUUUGGAUCUGUAAUGAGCCCCACCCCUAAAAGCUCACAAUUUGAAAGCAUGUUCUUGUUACAGCAAGAUUCUGAAGUGGGACUUUUAGACAAUGAUUGGAUCAUGGGAGCUCUGAAUCCAUCAUUUAAUUAAUUAAUCAAUCCAUUAAUAGCUUAGUGGUGGUAACUGUAGGCAAAGGAGGCAUGGCUGGAGGAAUAGGUCACUGGGGGCAUGCCCUUGGGGACUAUAUCUGUCCCUGGUCCCUUCCUGUUACACUCUCUCACUGUCUCUCUCUGCUUUCUGGCUGCCAUAGGCUGAAAAUAUCUCCUCUCCACCAUAAUGUUUCUGCCUUGGGUUCUGCUGACCGUGAACUGAACUUUGAAACCAUGGUCCCAAAUAAACCUUUUCUCCUCUAAGUUGUUCUCAUCGGGUGUUUCGGUCACAGUGAGACACGACUGACUAAUGUAUUUGGUGGGUAUUGUUAUAUAAUUUUCCUCUACAUCUCUAGAAAUUCAAUCUGAUAUUCAUAUAACCCCUUGUGUCUUUAAAAAUGUGAACGUGAGAUGUCAUUUUUCUUCCACUGACUUUAAACCUCCUAUAUUAAGCACGAGAUGAAUAUUACGUAAAUAGACGUGAUUUUGCACCUCCAGUGAGUGUGCACACCUCACCUUCUUUCAAGUCCCCUUGUUUUCCCAUCUAAGUUGGAUGGUCUAGACUAUCAAAUGGUAUUAUAAUUCUGUUUCCAUCAUCAAUACGAUUUAUAACACUGAAGAGGAGUCGACUCUCUUUUAUGUGCCGAUUUUCUCCUGGUCUUUCUUCCUUUCUGAUCCUCCAGGUUCCUCAUUUUACCAUCGCCUUUCUGUGUGAGAACUUCCACUAGCCUUCUUAAGGGUGGCCUCCUGGUUGGUUCACCUGACUGACGCGUGGGACUCCCACUCAGUUCGGAGAAGAAGUUAGUCUGUCCAGGCUGCCCUGGGUUACGAGGCUGGGGUUGGGGGAUCCCAGGCCUGGGUUAUUGUUUUAGUCAACAUUUUUGCUGCUGUGACUUAAAGACCCAACCAGAACAAUUGUAGAGGAGAAAAAAAUCAUUUGAGGGCUCAUUGUUUCAGAGGUCUUAGUCCAUAGAAGGCUGGCCCCAUUCCUUGAGGCUCAAGGUGAGGCAGAGCAUCAUGGCGGGAGGGUGUGGCGGAGGGAACCAGCUCACAUGGUGAUCAGGAAGCAGAGAGGGAAGUCUCCACGUGUUUGUUUAUGUUUUGUUUCAUUUUUUAAAGUACUAGCUAUUGAACCCAGGGGUGCUCCACAUCCUUAGCCAUAUAUAUAUAUAAUUUUGAGGUGGGUCUCACUAAGUGACCCAAGUUGGCUCCAAACAUGUGAUCCUCCUGCCUCAGCCUCCGGAAUGACAUGAGUAGGUUCCACCACCUUUCUAUCUGGAAAUAAAUGGCUCUCUUUUAAGCCCCUUUAGCAGAUUUCUUUUUGUGUCUCAUUAGCCAGACCUGUGCCACGUGAUACCCUUAGGCCUCAGAAAGUCUAGAAAAGGACAGGGUCAGGUUCAUUGCUACCCAUAGCCAAAUCGGAUUCAAAGUAGAAAGACAGAAGCAUAGAAGGACCCUUGGGUGGGCAACUACUCAAGUACUGCACGCCUUUGCCUGUUGUUCUACUGGGUUCUUUGCGUUUCCUUCUUCAGCAUUUCUCUACCUAUUCAGAUUCUAACAUACUGUAAGUUCAGCACAUGAAGUUGUCUUCUCUAAGUGAAAGGUUCCUUUUGUGUUUUAUUUGGUAACAUUUUUUCCGUUAGUUUUUACGUUGUAGAUCCAAAAACCAAGCAGACAACUCUCCUUUGGUGGGGAUUGCUUGUUUUUUUUCACAGAAACCCCACAUUUCACGUGAUAUGGAGCUGAUCCUCCAGAGAAGCUGCAUGCUCGUUUCCUGAGGCCAGUUCUUGUCCCAGGACAGAGUUGUGAGUGUUUGCCCAUGUGGAGUCUCCUGGCCUGAGUGUAGCAUAAACUCCUCUCCAUGUGGCUCUGGGUUGAUGUUCUAAUGCCUAAUGAAAGAUAUCUUUCUAUCCAGAUAGUGAUUGGAAGAAGCCUCUUGGUCAUUACCUUGGCCAGUGGUAUGAUUCUUUUUUACUCUGUCUUAACAGAGAGUCUAAACUUCUCAAAAUCCCCAAUUUAUGCCAAGAUCUAAGCUUUGGGCCCAAAGCCUCAUUUCUUGUCUUUGACUGUUUGAACUCUAACUUGAUCUGAUACCAUUUUUUUUCCCCGCAAGAUGCUAUAGCCAGACCUUGCAUGGAAACGCUCCAGAUCUCCUUUCAAUCUUUGUUUCUGACAUUUUCUUUCCUGUGAGAUAAAGUGUACAUUUAAACACUUUUAUUUUUGCUCAGUUCUAUUCAGCAUUCUCAUAUUUGAAAUGGGAAAAAGGUUUCAUAUGUCUUCAGGCAUCACACUCAUGGAAGAGGAAGCCCCCUGAAUGUUUUAAUGGCUGUCCUAGCACAACUGGAUGCCUGUGAACACCACUAAGAGAUGUGGCCACUUCACAUCAAGGGAUGAUUUAAUUUGGAGUCUCCAAAUACUUUCUAUAGUUGUACACAGAGAUGAUAUUUUUCUACUGAAAUGAAAAUUAAUAGUGGCACAAUGUUCAAGAUUAAGCUUUGAACAUGAUAUCAUUGUUCAACAAAGAUGAUGGAUUAAAAUGAAGGGAUGAAGGGGAGAAUUUUUGCUCAGAUGCCUUAAUAUUCCUCCUAUGUUCCUUUUUUUUUGGGGGGGGGGUACCAGCAAUUGAACUGGAAGUGUUCAACCACUGAGCCACAUCCCCAACCCUUUACUUAUUUUUAUUUUUUUAAAAUUCUAAUUUGUUAUAUAUGACAGCAGAAUAUAUUACAAUUCAUAUUUCACAUAUAGAGCACAAUUUUUCAUAUUACUGGUUGUACACAAAGUAUAUUCACAGCAUUCAUGUCUUCAUACAUGUACUUAGGGUAAUGAUGUCCAUCUCAUUCCACCAUCUUUCCUGCCCCCAUGCCCCCUCCCUUCCCAUCCCACCCCUUUUCCCUAUCUGGAGUUUGUCUAACCCUCCCAUGCUCCACCGGCAACCCAUUAUGAAUCAGCCUCCUUAUAUCAUAGAAAACAUUUGGCAUUUGGUGUUUUGGGAUUGGCUAACUUUACUCAGCAUUAUAUUCUCCAACUCCAUCCAUUUACAUGUGAAUGCCAUGAUUUUAUUCUCUUUUAAUGCUGAACAACAUUUGAUUGUGUGUGUGUGUGUGUGUAAUUUUCUUUUACCAUUCAUCUACUAAAGGGCAUCUGGGUUGGUUCCACAAUUUAGCUAUUGUGAAUUGUGCUGCUAUGAACAUUGAUGUGGCUGUGUCUCUGUAGUAUGCUGUUUUUAAGUCCUUUGGGUAUAGAUCCAGGAGUGGGAUAGAUGGGUCAAAUGGUGGUUCCAUUCCCAGUUUUCCAAGGAAUCUCCAUACUGCUUUCCAGAUUGGCUGCACCCAUUUGCAGUCCCACCAGCAGUGUAUGAGUGUGCCUUUCCCCCCACAUCUUCACCAACACUUAAUGUUGUUUGUAUUCUUGAUAGCUGCCAUUCUGACUGGAGUGAGAUGAAAUCUUAGUAGUUUUGAUUUGCAUUUCUCUAAUUGCUAGAGAUGUUGAACAUUUUUUUCAUAUAUUUGUUGAUUGAUUGUAUAUCAUCUUCUGAUAAGUGUUUGUUCUGUUCCUUGGCCCAUUUUUUGAUUGGGUUAUUUGUUGGAUUUUUUUUUUGGUGUUUAUAUUUUUUAGUUCUUUAUAUAUCCUAGAGAUUAGUGCUCUAUCUUAUGUGCGUGUGGUAAAAAUUUGCUCCCCAAAUGUAGGCUCUCUAUUCACCUCACUGCUUGUGUCUUUUGCUGAGAAGAAGUUUUUUAGUUUGAAUUCAUUCCAUUUAUUGAUUCUUGAUUUUAAUUCUUGUGCUUAUUAAGGAAGUUGGAGCCUAAUCCAACAUGAUGGAGAUUUGGGCCUACUUUUUCUUCCAUUAUACACAGUGUCUCUGGUUUAAUUUCUAGGUCCUGGAUUCACUUUGAGUUGAGCUUUGUGCAUGGUGAGAGAUAGGGAUUUAAUUUUAUUCUGUUGUAUAUCGAUUUCCAGUUUUCCCAAUACCAUUUCUUAAAGAAGCUUUCUUUUCUCCAAUGUAUGUUUUUUCCAGCCCUUUAUUUUUGAAACAGCAUUUUGCUAAGUUGUUUAGAGCCUCACUAAGUUGCUGAGGCUGGCUUUGAACUAACAAUCCUCCUGCCUCAGCCUCCCCAGCUCCUGGGAUUAUAGUCAUGUGCUGCUACACCCAGCUUUCCUCCUAGUUCUGCUACAUACAUGAGUAGCCUAGGCAAGGACGGGAGGAGGAAGGGACACCAACUUGGAGAUUGAAUUACGUAGCUCUUACAAGAGGAGGGUUUAGAUAAAAGACAUUUGCUUAGGAUCACUGAAAAGAUUAUAUCAGAUUCAUAUAUUUGAGUUCUCUCGAUAAUUUUUAAAGCAAUAGGGAAGAGUUAAAUCAAACAUCAAUUAUCUACAUUUCAAAUAUCUGUUUAUAUUGCAGGAGGAGUUCAAACAGACUCAUUGAAUGACCUGGAUGCUUUGAAUAUAAAUUGAAGAAAUGACGUUGUGAUUCCUCAGUCUGAAGAAAUACAAUUAUCAUCGCUACUAGCCUUGAAUUAAGCAUUUCUUUAUAGAUGAAUACACUCUUUGAAAUAGAAGAAUCUUCUGUGAAUCAUUUAAUCCCCUCUCCACAAAGAGGCACUCUUUGCAUAAAUAAUUUUGAGCAUUCAGGCUGGCUAUCUUCUGCAGUGCUGUUGCCUCCAAUAAAUCCUUCCUGCAUUGGAUGUAUCUGGUUCUAAAUUCAUCCCAGGGAAAAACAGUAGGAAAGAGCCACACAUUUUUCUUGGGUAUUCCUGUCUGGAAAAUUGAAUGAAGGUCCCCCUGUUGCUCACCUGCCUUUCUCUUUUAUUAUCUUG
Molecule: long non-coding RNA, 12472 nt
Filed under: Marmota monax (woodchuck)
Lineage: Eukaryota; Metazoa; Chordata; Mammalia; Rodentia; Sciuridae
Source: RNAcentral